RNAcentral lists this ribosomal RNA (139 nucleotides) under uncultured bacterium. RNAcentral describes it as "partial 16S ribosomal RNA". It matches the Rfam family "Bacterial small subunit ribosomal RNA", at positions 371 to 529 of the family's 1533-position model. The record is from RNAcentral.
AUGGGCGCAGCCUGAUCCAGCAACGCCGCGUGAGUGAUGAAGGCCUUCGGGUUGUAAACCUCUUUUACCCGGGACGAUAAUGACGGUACCCGGAGAAUAAGCCCCGGCUAACUCCGUGCCAGCAGCCGCGGUAAUCAAA